RNAcentral lists this ribosomal RNA (455 nucleotides) under uncultured bacterium. RNAcentral describes it as "bacterial SSU rRNA". It matches the Rfam family "Bacterial small subunit ribosomal RNA", at positions 339 to 794 of the family's 1533-position model. The record is from RNAcentral.
UUACGGGAGGCAGCAGUGGGGAAUCUUGCGCAAUGGCCGAAAGGCUGACGCAGCGACGCCGCGUGUGGGAGGACGCCCUUCGGGGUGUAAACCACUGUUGCCCGGGACGAACAUCUGGUUUCGACCAGACUGACGGUACCGGGUGAGGAAGCACCGGCUAACUCCGUGCCAGCAGCCGCGGUAAUACGGAGGGUGCGAGCGUUGUCCGGAAUCACUGGGCGUAAAGGGCGCGUAGGCGGCGCGGAUAGUCGGCGGUGAAAGCCCGGAGCUCAACUCCGGGUCGGCCGUCGAUACUUCCGGGCUUGAGCACUGUAGAGGCAGAUGGAAUUCCGGGUGUAGCGGUGGAAUGCGUAGAGAUCCGGAAGAACACCGGUGGCGAAGGCGGUCUGCUGGGCAGUUGCUGACGCUGAUGCGCGACAGCGUGGGGAGCAAACAGGAUUAGAUACCCCGGUAGC